RNAcentral lists this unclassified non-coding RNA (2428 nucleotides) under uncultured fungus. RNAcentral's name for it is "sequence contains 18S rRNA gene, ITS1, 5.8S rRNA gene, ITS2, 28S rRNA gene". The stretch from base 877 to 2428 matches the Rfam family "Eukaryotic large subunit ribosomal RNA", at positions 1 to 961 of the family's 3401-position model. The record is from RNAcentral. Lineage: Eukaryota; Fungi.
GGAGGGAUCAUUAACACACUGCGUUCAUUUAGGCAGCGUACCCCACAAAUGGAGAAUGGCCGAUUCGGCUUGAUGGAAUCUCGACCUCUUGAAUUUGACCUUCUGAGCCUGGAGUUGCCUUUAAGGGCGAAGAGUUAGGGUUGAAGGAGAUUGGUUGGUUGGACGUCAAGCUGGAGGAGCAUCCGUGGGAUCUUCUAGCCUAAACAACAAGCAAGGUUCAAGUCUUGUAACCUUAUCAGCUCGUUUCUGCGAGUUUUUGGGGUUACAGAUUUUUUUAGAACACUGUUGAACUUGUACCCUUUUUUUGGAGAAUUGACCGAGAGCCUCUGUGCUAAUCAGGGAAGAGGGACGCCUCGCCUAGAUAUGCGCAUUUUCUCGAUCAAGUGAAUCGAAGUAUAAAUAAAAUGAGAACUUUUAACAACGGAUAUCUUGGUUCUCGCAACGAUGACGAGCGCAGCGAAAUGCGAUACUUAGUGUGAAUUGCAGAAUUCAGUGAAUCAUCGAGACCUUGAACGCAUAUUGCACCUGCAAGCAAUUGCAGGUACGCCUGUUUGAGUAUUGAUAAUAACCAAGCACAACCCAAAAAACUGCGGUGCCUCUUCUGGUGUUUCAGUCAUUUUUGGGAUGUUGGAAUUGGGCUCCCUGGUCGAGAGGCCUGGUUGCUUGAAAUGCAUAAAAUGGUAGUCAGGAAAAAGGGUCCAUCACCUGAAUCGAAAAUAGUGCAGUGACAUUGCCCUUUUGGGUGACAUGAACUCACUUCUAGUAAAUUUGGGGCUCAAUGAUGAGAGAGUUUUUUAGACAGGCCUGCGAGCGAAAGGAUGAGCGUUCACAGCGCUGCUCGACAAACACAAUUUUCUAAACUAAAUUGUACAAACUCAAUCUCAAAUCAGGCGAGAAAACCCGCUGAACUUAAGCAUAUUAAUAAGCGGAGGAGAAGAAACCAACAGGGAUUCCCCCAGUAACUGCGAGUGAAGUGGGAGGAGCUCAAUCUUAAAAUCAGCAGCAGUCCAUGUUGCCGAAUUGUAGUUUUGUGAACAGCUUCACGGGCAGGCUGCCUUGGUAUAAGUCCUCUGGAACGAGGUGCCAAAGAAGGUGAUAGCCCUGUGCAUGACCAAGGUGUACAUGGCCUGCCAACACGUGCUGCUGAUUCAGCGAGUCGGGUUGUUUGGGAGUACAGCCCAAAGUGGGAGGUAAAUUCCUUCUAAAGCUAAAUAAUGGCGAGAGACCGAUAGCGAACAAGUACCGUGAGGGAAAGAUGCAAAGAACUUUGAAAAGAGAGUUAAAAGUGCUUGAAAUUGUUAAAAGUGAAGCGAUUGGAAGCAGUACAUGCUCGCUGUCAACUCAUCCAUCGUCGUAGGAUUGGUGUGGUGUCGAUUGAGUGGCUCUUAGCAGUCAUCACGGUGCUAUUUCCUGGUCCUGCGAUGGUGGAGCAUUUUGGUGGCGAGUGAGUCAGCAUCAAUGAGCUUUGAGCGGGAGAAUGGCUUGGAGGAGGUGACAUGCUGUUGGCUCUCGGGCUUUCAGUGUGUGUUAAACUCUGGGUAGAUACCGUUUGGUUCAUUGAGGCAAUCUGUGAUUGAUAACCAGCGCCUUCUUGGCGGGGUAAGGGUGGAACUGAGUUGUGUCAGAGGUGGGGACAGCUUGCUGUGCUCGUCGACUGGCAUGGUUCAUGGUCUGCCCUCCACCAGCUGGUUAGUGAUGCUGACCGAAUGUUUUCAAUCGUCCCGUCUUGAAACACGGACCAAGGAGUCUAACAUAUGUGCGAGCGAAUGAGUGGCAAACUUACACGCGCAAUGAAAGUGAGAGGUGGGAGUCGCAAGACGCACCAUCGACCAAUUUUGAUAUUUUUGGAUAGAUUUGAGUUGGAGCAUAUAUGUUGGGACCCGAAAGAUUGCGAACUAUGCUUGCAUAGGGUGAAGCCAGGCGAAAGUCUGGUGGAGGCUCGUAGCGAUACUGACGUGACUUUGUUUAUUUGCGUCAAAAAGGGAACGUUCCUUCCCUAGCAUCACAUUUUCUGAGAGAAUGUUGAUGCAACACCGUCAAACUGCGGGGAGUUCAGGCAGUAUCAUCUAACCAAGUGUGGCUUUCAAAAGGAAAAAACAGCGAGUGCCCAGAGAUUUUCUCGGGAUAAAACUCACUGUACCACAUGGCCAAAGUGAGAAACUUUGGGUAGACUGGUAAAAAUGAUGGUACAAAGUGGACAAUCUGCAGCCAAUCCUCUCACAACACACACGAUAAAAUGUGUGUGAGAAGAACUGUUCAGAGACUAAAUGUCGGUGGGCUUGAGAAAGUAACCACUCUCUCUCUCGCUUAAGAUAUAGUCCGGCUCUGAUACUUCAAAAAAGUAACAGAAAACAAGCUGGCAAAUCGUUCGUCAAAUGUGGGUAUAGCGGCGAAAGACUAAUCGAGCAAUCUAGUAGCUGGUUUCCUC